This 595-nucleotide ribosomal RNA is filed under the name uncultured bacterium. RNAcentral describes it as "partial 16S ribosomal RNA". It matches the Rfam family "Bacterial small subunit ribosomal RNA", at positions 355 to 935 of the family's 1533-position model. The record is from RNAcentral.
UGGGGAAUUUUGGACAAUGGGCGAAAGCCUGAUCCAGCCAUGCCGCGUGCAGGACGAAGGCCUUCGGGUUGUAAACUGCUUUUGUACGGAACGAAAAGACUCUGGUUAAUACCUGGGGUCCAUGACGGUACCGUAAGAAUAAGCACCGGCUAACUACGUGCCAGCAGCCGCGGUAAUACGUAGGGUGCAAGCGUUAAUCGGAAUUACUGGGCGUAAAGCGUGCGCAGGCGGUUAUAUAAGACAGAUGUGAAAUCCCCGGGCUCAACCUGGGAACUGCAUUUUGUGACUGUAUAGCUAGAGUACGGCAGAGGGGGGAUGGAAUUUCCGCGUGUAGCAGUGAAAUGCGUAGAUAUGCGGAGGAACACCGAUGGCGAAGGCAAUCCCCUGGGCCUGUACUGACGCUCAUGCACGAAAGCGUGGGGGAGCAAAACAGGAUUAGAUACCCCUGGUAGUCCACGCCCUAAACGAUGUCAACUGGGUUGUUGGGUCUUCACUGACUCAGUAACGAAGCUAACGCGUGAAGUUGACCGCCUGGGGGAGUACGGCCGCAAGGUUGAAACUCAAAUGAAUUGACGGGGGUCAUAGCUGGUUUCCU